Molecule: unclassified non-coding RNA, 400 nt
Filed under: uncultured fungus
Lineage: Eukaryota; Fungi
Description: sequence contains ITS1
Rfam family: 5.8S ribosomal RNA (bases 1-106)
Source: RNAcentral
AAAAUGCGAUACGUAAUGCGAAUUGCAGAAUUCAGUGAAUCAUCAAAUCUUUGAACGCAAAUUGCGCUCUCGGGAUAGGCCUGGGAGCACGCCUCUUUGAGUAUCGUUUCAACCACAACUCGAAAGCGUGCUUUAUUGCAACGCUGACGGAGAUUGAGUGUUCUUGAGAACUCAAGACGCUUUAAAUGAAGCGAGCGACAUGAUUUCGGACUUGAAAUGAACUUUUUGUCUCAAGUGACGAGGAUAACUUCACAUUCAGUUGUGAACCCUUCCAUCGUGACUUACGAGACCAAGAACCUUUCGCGGUCAGUUGUCAGAUUGUCGCAGAACUCUGCGCUUCGCCUGUUGCGACGAGCGCAGAACUUUCACUUGAACUAGAUCUCAAAUGAAGCGAGAAAAC